This 82-nucleotide microRNA precursor is filed under the name Trialeurodes vaporariorum (greenhouse whitefly). RNAcentral's name for it is "mir-124 microRNA precursor family". The stretch from base 5 to 77 matches the Rfam family "mir-124 microRNA precursor family". From Rfam's summary of the family: The mature ~21nt miRNAs are processed from hairpin precursor sequences represented here, in this case originating from the 3' arm. The record is from RNAcentral. Lineage: Eukaryota; Metazoa; Arthropoda; Insecta; Hemiptera; Aleyrodidae.
CGUUUUCUCCUCGUGUUCACUGUGUUGGCUUAAUGUUAUAUUAAUUUUCAUAAGGCACGCGGUGAAUGCCAAGAGUGAGCUU